CAAUAGCGUAUAUUUAAGUUGCUGCAGUUAAAAAGCUCGUAGUUGGAUUUCGGGUGGGAAUGGCCGGUCCGCCGUUUCGGUGUGCACUUGCUAGGCCCACCUUGCUGCCGGGGACGUGCUCUUGAAUUUCGGCUCGGGACACGGAGUCGGCGAGGUUACUUUGAGUAAAUUAGAGUGUUCAAAGCAGGCCUACGCUCUGAAUACAUUAGCAUGGAAUAACACGAUAGGACUCUGGCCUAUCUUGCUGGUCUGUAGGACCGGAGUAAUGAUUAAGAGGGACAGUCGGGGGCAUUCGUAUUUCAUUGUCAGAGGUGAAAUUCUUGGAUUUAUGAAAGACGAACUACUGCGAAAGCAUUUGCCAAGGAUGUUUUCAUUAA
This 377-nucleotide ribosomal RNA is filed under the name uncultured eukaryote. Its description in RNAcentral is "partial 18S ribosomal RNA". It matches the Rfam family "Eukaryotic small subunit ribosomal RNA", at positions 592 to 976 of the family's 1831-position model. The record is from RNAcentral.